RNAcentral lists this small RNA (27 nucleotides) under Bombyx mori (domestic silkworm). RNAcentral describes it as "ovarian small RNA-36846". Lineage: Eukaryota; Metazoa; Arthropoda; Insecta; Lepidoptera; Bombycidae. The record is from RNAcentral.
UUAUGAAGCAAUAAUGCAUGGAAAACA